This 317-nucleotide long non-coding RNA is filed under the name Salvia miltiorrhiza (redroot sage). RNAcentral describes it as "long non-coding RNA (SMIL_LNC000189)". Lineage: Eukaryota; Viridiplantae; Streptophyta; Magnoliopsida; Lamiales; Lamiaceae. The record is from RNAcentral.
GGAGGAGGCGCUCGCGUGCCAACACAGUUCGUGUUGAGCCUGUUUUUCGGUGCCGAGCACAAAUAGGAAAUAAGUUGAGUGCGCGUGUGUCGCGCACCGAUUUAAAUUUGAAAAAUUCGAUCGUUUUACAUUUUUUAAUUUUUUUUUAAGUUUUCAUUUUGACUGUUGUUGCCUCCAACGUCUCUUUCCUUUUCUUUUUUUUUUCUUUUUACUUUUUCUAUUUAUACUACAUCAUUUCCAUUUUUCACAAUUUUUUCCACAUCCAACACAACUCUCUCUCGCAUCUCAAUAUAUUCUCUCAUUUUUUUUAUUUCAAG